AAUGCACCGCUCCGCGCAGGCGGCCGCGGAAUUCGAUUAAUUAUUGGGCGUAAAGAGCUCGUAGGCGGUUUGUCGCGUCUGCCGUGAAAGUCCGGGGCUCAACUCCGGAUCUGCGGUGGGUACGGGCAGACUAGAGUGAUGUAGGGGAGACUGGAAUUCCUGGUGUAGUGGUGAAAUGCGCAGAUAUCAGGAGGAACACCGAUGGCGAAGGCAGGUCUCUGGGCAUUAACUGACGCUGAGGAGCGAAAGCAUGGGGAGCGAACAGGAUUAGAUACCCUGGUAGUCCAUGCCGUAAACGUUGGGCACUAGGUGUGGGGGACAUUCCACGUUUUCCGCGCCGUAGCUAACGCAUUAAGUGCCCCGCCUGGGGAGUACGGCCGCAAGGCUAAAACUCAAAGGAAUUGACGGGGGCCCGCACAAGCGGCGGAGCAUGCGGAUUAAUUCGAUGCAACGCGAAGAACCUUACCAAGGCUAGACAUGAACCGGAAAGAUCUGGAAACAGGUCCCCCACUUGUGGUCGGUUUACAGGUGGUGCAUGGUUGUCGUCAGCUCGUGUCGUGAGAUGUUGGGUUAAGUCCCGCAACGAGCGCAACCCUCGUUCUAUGUUGCCAGCACGUGAUGGUGGGGACUCAUAGGAGACUGCCGGGGUCAACUCGGAGGAAGGUGGGGACGACGUCAAAUCAUCAUGCCCCUUAUGUCUUGGGCUUCACGCAUGCUACAAUGGCCGGUACAAAGGGUUGCGAUACUGUGAGGUGGAGCUAAUCCCAAAAAGCCGGUCUCAGUUCGGAUUGGGGUCUGCAACUCGACCCCAUGAAGUCGGAGUCGCUAGUAAUCGCAGAUCAGCA
This 845-nucleotide ribosomal RNA is filed under the name Pseudarthrobacter chlorophenolicus. RNAcentral's name for it is "bacterial SSU rRNA". It matches the Rfam family "Bacterial small subunit ribosomal RNA", at positions 1 to 1354 of the family's 1533-position model. The record is from RNAcentral. Lineage: Bacteria; Bacillati; Actinomycetota; Actinomycetes; Micrococcales; Micrococcaceae.